Triticum urartu is the source of this 2550-nucleotide non-coding RNA. The record is from RefSeq and is a predicted model, not a curated record. Lineage: Eukaryota; Viridiplantae; Streptophyta; Magnoliopsida; Poales; Poaceae.
GUGCCCACUCGCCAUUGUCCAAGAGAGAGAAAGACGUCAGUGUAUCCCUUUUCUUGUUCUCACACGAAUCCUUCUUCCCCUUUUCGUUUUUCCUCCCCACAGUGGCGGCUAGGGUUGCUGCCGUCGGCGCCGCAUCCGGCUCCCACUCCAUCAUCAGCUCGUAUUCCCCUCUCAUCUCUUUUUGUGCACGCGAAGAUGCAGUGGAGGUGGUUCUCAUCGGAGGAGGUGGGGGUUGAGGAGAGGAAAACAUCCACCGUGUCUCCAUCCUCCGCGUCCACGGCUGUCGCUGAGGUCUAGCGAGGUGAAGCGGGUGUCUGUGGGAGAACUAAGACGUAGUGCCCCUGCAAGCAACAUCUCCCUCGCUCCUGAGCCGCAGCACAGCGCCGUCCCAUCCAGAUGACGGAUUGACCACGAGAGUGGUGCUGCCAUGGUCGCCCUCGCCUCUUCUCCGUCGCCCAAUGCCGCCAAAUCCCCCUCCCCUUAUCACCAUUAGGAUCUGGGAGCUACAUGGACUUGGAGCAGCAAGUCAUGCCGAUGAGGGAAUCAGAGGUGAGAGCCAGAGGAGCCUCAUCAGUCCCCACUACUCUAUAAGGAAAGCUAGCGUUAACCCGAUCCAUGUUUUCUGCAUGUUAUGUGUUUGAUGAAAUUCCUGCAAGCCAAAUGUUCAGUGAGGCCCCCUAAUUCAGUUAUUUCAGCUGGUUGAUGUAGACAUUGCUGGUGAUUCACUUGCGAACAGUUAAUUAGAUUGAUUUUUUGUUAUGUUCAUUCACCUUAUUCAGAUAAUCACAUUCACAGAUUUAGUUUGCUUUGGUUAUGCCCAUGUUUUUUAGAUGUUAUGCCCAUGGUUUGUUUUCAGUAUUCCGUUUGGAGAAUGGAGUCAAGGCCUGUAUGUAAGAUGAUGGUGGAUAAGAACAAGGGGAAGAGGGCCCUGGCUUGCUUUCUCUAUGAUACAUUGCUUUUAAUUACAGUAUCCAACCCAAUAAGCGUCGUGUAAUGGGCGCCUCCUCCUCCGUGGGAGGCCAUCGGCAAGAGGAAGGAUUGCAUAUGCCACCUCUGCUCGUGCUUUGCUCAGGCCGCUCUCUUUUCCUCUCUGUCCCUGCUGCGACGGUGACUGGGUCGUCAGGCUCGAGCAGUCUUUCAACAUAUUCCUCAUGGAUGCGGUCGUUCUGAUACUCGAUGUGUUGUACCAUGAUCGUGACUACGCCAGGUUCUUCAUGCUCGAGACCAUCGCCAGAGUGCCGUAUUUCGCAAUCCAAGCCAGCAUUUCCCAGCAGGUUUGGUGCUUUUCAAGCUGUCAACAAUUAUUGUGGUUGACCAUGGGAAGGAAGCUUUUACCACUUGUGGAGAUUUCGGACCGAGUGAAGAAGACUUCCCUUUACCCAUGGAUUAUUCUUUCCUGUGCUUCUCUAUGCUGAGGUCAGCCGGUUCUGAUGUGCCGAAAAGGAGAGCAAGGGCACAGCAGUGCCUCCUUCCUAUCUUCGUGCAGGGAGGGGUGGCGAUCUGUCUAUGAAGUUUUAGAGGGAUUCAAAGGUGACCACUACUUGGUUUUCAUGGCCAUUAAAGUCGAGUGCUGAGUGGAUACUAUGGUGAGCUUAAUCAAAUAGCUUUGCGAGGAAUAGAAAGAGCCAGUGAUUGGGCAACGCUGCAUGCGUGGCUGCUUAUUCCUUCCUAGGGGUUGCCUUGUUAAGGAAACUUUCUGCUCGCAUGCCUCUCUCUCCUAGAGGCAUCCCUCCUUCUAGAUCUCACUGUAGCUUUCAUGUGAAAGUGGCUUGAUCAUGCGCAUAAGCAGAACACAUUCAGUUUCAUUGGUGCGUGUGGAUGACCAGUGAACUUGGAAGGAUUUCUAUUCCCAUGUGAUCUACUUGGUCUAUGCCUGAGCAUCAUUCCUAAAUAUAGCUCAUCAUGCCAUUCUUUUUGGUCCAUGACCACAUCAAUGUGGAUGUUCCUAUUAAAACAAAGGUACAUAAUUGAUAUUUUCCUGGAUUAUUAAUUCCUGGAUUUUGUUGCUCAGGUUUGUCUCCCACGAUUUCGUUUACUGUGAGAUGCUAUCGACACACACGGGCACACAUGCCUAAGAUGGUCUAAGGUUCAGUUUCUGGUCACUUCAAUGAGGGCAGGAUGGUGAGUAGAUGACCAUGGACCAUGGUGGGGAGGCGUGGUGUUGAGCCACUGAUGGAGGCACUACACUGUCAGGAUGUGUCUAUCGUGAUGCCAAUGAGGCAUGGCAGCAUUUGUUCUACCGGAAGGUGCUACAGUUAGGCGGUCUCUUAGUCCUUCAUCUCUAUUUUGUGUCGCUGCUUCUACUUUUGUUGUCUAAUGCAUAUAGUUGGAGGAUUUCGAUCAAAUGUCCCUAUUAGUGAAUACUGUGUUCUUAUGUAUUUCCAAAAAACUUUUUUGUUUUCACAACAAUUGGUGAGUUAGAACUAAAAGGGACCAUAUCAGAUAAUCAUUUGUAACUCUGUUAUGCAAGCCAAUUUAAAAAGUUUGUCGUAUUAUUGAUUGAUGGGUUAUAUAAUCCUCACAUUAUGGUACAGUGUGAGUGAUUUUGCA